UUAAUCCAAAAAAACAAGAAAUUGCUUACUUUUGUUCAAAAAGUUGAUGGGAAUGUGGUCCCUUAAAGUUCUUGAGAUUCUCUUUUGCUAUCAUAGUUAGCGCUUGGUUUAUACUGGAUCGUGUGAUACUAGAACAAGGAUUCUCAAAUGACCUGACAACCUACUUAUGAGAUAUGAGUAUUGCGAAUCUUUUCGUUAGGCAAGUUUUCUCAAUUGCCUCUUUCUCUUCUUAGUGUGUAAUCUUGAGCUUAAAGUUAUCUAAUACUUAUAUUUUUAGAUUGUAAUUGAGGAUUCUCAUAAUAGUUCUUGAGAUUCUCUUUUGCUAAUUUAGGAGAAUGACAACAAAUACAUAUGUUUCCUCUGUAUUCCUCAGUUCAGUAGUAUUAUUAAGUAGUCGUGUGUUCUCUUAUUUUUAAUGUAUAUUACUCUUUGUUGCUUCCCUGCUUCAUCUCUUGCUCUUUUGCUGACAUAUUUUUCUAGCAGAUCUGCUUCAGAAACUCUUUUUUUGAGCCGAGGGUCUAUAGGAAACCAUCUCUAAACCCCCACAAAGGAGGCAUCCUGUAAGGAUCAUGUAAGCAGAUGAUGUUAGCUGACUGUCUUAACUUACUAGGCUGUGAUGAGAUCGAGAGAAGGCAAACAACAGAUCAGGUAAAUAAUCUCUUCAUUUAUAGUGUUUUAACUCUGUUUUCACAUUUUUUGGUAUUUGAAUUGACAUAAGACAUGAUAAAUAAAACUAAAUUCAAUUUCUCGCAGUCCUUCUCCCUUAACCCUAAGACAAUACCUUUUUGUUGUCACUCAAGUGCAUGGUCUGCUUCAUAGUGUAUUUAAAUGAUUUACUUGAUAGUGUUUUGUGGACCGCUCAUACUAAGCGAGAUAAGAAUGAGCUUUAUAAUCAUAUGUGGGGUGCUCAUAUUAUGCGAGGUAAGAAUGAACUUUUCCGUUCCUUCAUAAAUCAUAGGGAACUUAUUUCAGUUUCUCUAUCAAAAAAAACUUUUUCCAGUUACUUAAAUUGUGUUAUCAAAUUGUCAUGAUAAUUCAUUAGCUGGUAUUUCAAAUUUUAUAGUUUAUUUAAGAAUAGAAUGCUACUUUGGUUGACAAUGAGUUUGACUGAAAACUUCUCAAAAGAAAAAGGUUAAGGGCACAUGAAUAUAGUAGUUUAUGAUCUUACCAAAAAAAUGAAUAUAGUAAUUUAUGAUUAGGCAUUUCUCCUAUAUAAAGUUUUAAAAAGUGAGAGUCUACGUAAAUGUUUCCCUCCCAAUGCACAACAUAUGAAGAAACGGAAGCCUCAACGUUUGACUUAUUAGGGAGUUCGAUAUCAAUCAUACAAUUUAUCUUGGUAGAUUUUUAGAAACUUAAUAGUAAUGAAUAUGACUCUAGGUCAUUUUCAGUAAAUGUUCUUUCGUUUUCUGAUAGUAAACGUGGCUUUUGAUAUGGGAUCAUUGCAGGACAUUCGAGGCUGCAAAGUUUGUAUCAUUUUGAAUGUUCUGAAAUAAUUUUUUAAAUUUUUUUUCAUCUUUCAGCUAUUUCUCAGUAGAAGUUAUGUUAUAAAUUUGUGUCAUAAUGUUGUUUUUCACUAUCGGCCUUGAAAGCUUGUAGUUUGCUAUUGCAGGUUACUUCCCUGCAGGAGUAGUAGUAGUUUUUUUUUUUUAUCUUUUUCCAUCACGUAUUUGUCAUUUCAAGCCGAGGAUAGUUCUAGAUCGAUGUAAAUGGACUUGUAUUAGCAUUAAAAAAGUAUUUGGUUUCUUUUCUU
This is a long non-coding RNA of Solanum tuberosum (potato), 1750 nucleotides long. RefSeq lists it as uncharacterized. Lineage: Eukaryota; Viridiplantae; Streptophyta; Magnoliopsida; Solanales; Solanaceae. The record is from RefSeq and is a predicted model, not a curated record. The transcript is spliced from 2 exons.